RNAcentral lists this transfer RNA (74 nucleotides) under Pelecanus crispus (Dalmatian pelican). It matches the Rfam family "tRNA". From Rfam's summary of the family: Transfer RNA (tRNA) molecules are approximately 80 nucleotides in length. The record is from Rfam by way of RNAcentral. Lineage: Eukaryota; Metazoa; Chordata; Aves; Pelecaniformes; Pelecanidae.
GCCGGGUUAGCUCAGUUGGUUAGAACCUGGUGCUGAUAACGCCAAGUUCACAGGUUCAAUCCCUGCUCACUGCA